GAUGAACGCUGGCGGCGUGCUUAACACAUGCAAGUCGAACGAAGCACUUUAUUUGAUUUCCUUCGGGACUGAUUAUUUUGUGACUGAGUGGCGGACGGGUGAGUAACGCGUGGGUAACCUGCCUUGUACAGGGGGAUAACAGUUGGAAACGGCUGCUAAUACCGCAUAAGCGCACAGCAUCGCAUGAUGCAGUGUGAAAAACUCCGGUGGUAUAAGAUGGACCCGCGUUGGAUUAGCUAGUUGGUGAGGUAACGGCCCACCAAGGCGACGAUCCAUAGCCGACCUGAGAGGGUGACCGGCCACAUUGGGACUGAGACACGGCCCAAACUCCUACGGGAGGCAGCAGUGGGGAAUAUUGCACAAUGGGCGAAAGCCUGAUGCAGCGACGCCGCGUGAGCGAAGAAGUAUUUCGGUAUGUAAAGCUCUAUCAGCAGGGAAGAUAAUGACGGUACCUGACCAAGAAGCACCGGCUAAAUACGUG
This 481-nucleotide ribosomal RNA is filed under the name uncultured bacterium. RNAcentral describes it as "partial 16S ribosomal RNA". It matches the Rfam family "Bacterial small subunit ribosomal RNA", at positions 28 to 507 of the family's 1533-position model. The record is from RNAcentral.